GGCGCUGUGGCUUAGUUGGUCAAAGUGCCUGUCUCGUAAACAGGAGAUCCUGGGUUUUAAAUCCCAGCAGUGCCU
Molecule: non-coding RNA, 75 nt
Organism: Melanotaenia boesemani (Boeseman's rainbowfish)
Lineage: Eukaryota; Metazoa; Chordata; Actinopteri; Atheriniformes; Melanotaeniidae
Source: the annotation of a RefSeq genome assembly